CGCGUGUACUGGUCCGGCCGGGCCUUUCCUUCUGGAGAUCCCCAUGCCCUUCACUGGGUGUGUGGGGGAACCAGGACUUUUACUUUGAAAAAAUUAGAGUGUUCAAAGCGGGCCUUUGCUCGAAUACUUUAGCAUGGAAUAAUAAAAUAAGACGUGCGGUCCUAUUUUGUUGGUUUCUAAGACCGCUGUAAUGAUUAAUAGGGAUAGUCGGGGGCAUCAGUAUUCAAUUGUCAGAGGUGAAAUUCUUGGAUUUAUUGAACACUAACUACUGCGAAAGCAUUUGCCAAGGAUGUUUUCAUUAAUCAGUGAACGAAAGUUAGGGGAUCGAACACUAUCAUAUACCGUGGUAGUGUUAACCGUAAACUAUGCCGACUAGGGAUCGGGCGAUGUUUCUUUCUUGACUCGCUCGGCACCUUACGAGAAAUCAAAGUUUUUGGGUUCUGGGGGGAGUAUGGUCGCAAGGCUGAAACUUAAAGAAAUUGACGGAGGGGCACCCCCCGGCGUGGAGCCUGCGGGUUAAUUUGACUCAACACGGGGAAACUCACCAGGUCCAGAUGAAAUAAGGAUUGACAGAUUGAGAGCUCUUUCUUGAUUUUUCAGGUGGUGGUGCAUGGCCGUUCUUAUUUGGUGGAGUGAUUAGUCGGCUUAAUUACGAUAACGAACGAGACCUCAACCUCCUAAAUAGCCAGCCUAGCAUUGGCUGUCGCCGGCUUGUUAGAGGGACGAUCGG
This 730-nucleotide ribosomal RNA is filed under the name uncultured eukaryote. RNAcentral describes it as "SSU rRNA". It matches the Rfam family "Eukaryotic small subunit ribosomal RNA", at positions 670 to 1426 of the family's 1831-position model. The record is from RNAcentral.